GGCGAGUUACCCAAGCGGCCAAAGGGAUCUGACUGUAAAUCAGACUGCUAAGCAUUCACUGGUUCGAAUCCAGUACUCGCCA
Molecule: transfer RNA, 82 nt
Filed under: Microbacteriaceae bacterium
Lineage: Bacteria; Bacillati; Actinomycetota; Actinomycetes; Micrococcales; Microbacteriaceae
Also listed under: 1 other name
Description: tRNA-Tyr
Rfam family: tRNA
About the family: Transfer RNA (tRNA) molecules are approximately 80 nucleotides in length. Their secondary structure includes four short double-helical elements and three loops (D, anti-codon, and T loops).
Source: RNAcentral